This 476-nucleotide long non-coding RNA is filed under the name Heterocephalus glaber (naked mole-rat). RNAcentral's name for it is "lncRNA (ENSHGLG00000034965.1)". The record is from RNAcentral. Lineage: Eukaryota; Metazoa; Chordata; Mammalia; Rodentia; Bathyergidae.
UGUAGGCAGAGUGCGCCCCGGGACCCCGCCGCGUCCCUUCCGGGUGCCCCGCUCUUCUGGUUCCUCUGCUGCUGCCUGGCGCCGUUUUGCAGCCUCCUGGCCCUCGCUGGUCCCUGCUCCGGACUUGGGCGCUCGGCUCCCGAGCCUCGGUGCGGACCGGGAGCUGAGGCCGGGAGCUGAGCCCUGCGGCCGGCGGCCUAGCGGCAUCCUCGCCUGGCGUGGGUGGGAGCGUCUCCGAUCCUGCUUCUCAUUACCUGUGGGUGGUAACUGGAGACUGCUUCGUGAGUCCGUGCCUGGAGUCUCCAAAUUCUAGCACGGAUCCCAAAGCAGGAGAGGCCCAAACCGGAUCCUCAGCGAGCCUUCACCCAAUCCAGCAUGUCAGAGGCACGCUCCACUCUUGUUCCUCCAUCCCAAGGAAGGAACGUCGGUAGGAAACGUGUCCUGUUGGAAGUGCUGAGCUGUGCGUGUCAGGGAGC